Molecule: long non-coding RNA, 568 nt
Filed under: Homo sapiens (human)
Lineage: Eukaryota; Metazoa; Chordata; Mammalia; Primates; Hominidae
Description: HSALNT0079243
Source: RNAcentral
CUGCCUUCUGAGCAAGGGGAUCCCAGCAACCCUGGUACAGCAGGCUCUGAGCAAUACCAAGGAGCAGGGCAGGAACUAAGAGGGGCUAUGUAGGAACCAUAUCUCGAUCAGGAAACCGCAGUAGGGAGGCCCUCCCAGGGUGCCCUGAAGAACACAUACAGCUCAUAGAGAGUAAGUGAUUGGAAGACAGUCAGGUAAAAAAUAUCUACAUUCCUCUUCUCCCUCCACUUCUUCCUACUACUCCAAUACCAUGGUCCACCUUCAAGAGAAGCAGAAGAAGAUGGCACAGGUAAGAAAAUCAGAGCAAAGGAAGUUUGAGUAAUGCACCCUGGCUCCCAUAAAUGGUAGAUGCAGAGCUCAAACCCACAUGGCUGACUCCAGACCUCAAUGAAGAACACGUUCCUGUUUUCCUGGGUGGUUCACCAUUUUGCCUGUUGUCCCAGGCCCCCAUGCAUUUGAAAGGAAGAGAAGGAGAACAAAAACAAGGAAAGAAAGGAAAAAAGGAAGGAAGGGAGGAAGUCAAGGCAAGACAAGAUGGGCCUGGAGAGCAUGAGUAAAUCCGGGGCUC